UACGUAGGUGGCAAGCGUUGUCCGGAAUUAUUGGGCGUAAAGGGCGCGUAGGCGGUCCCUUAAGUCAGAUGUGAAAUCCCGAGGCUCAACCUCGGGCGUGCAUUUGAAACUGGGGGACUAGAGUGCAGGAGAGGUAAGUGGAAUUCCUAGUGUAGCGGUGAAAUGCGUAGAUAUUAGGAGGAACACCAGUGGCGAAGGCGACUUACUGGACUGUAACUGACGCUGAGGCGCGAAAGCGUGGGGAGCAAACAGG
RNAcentral lists this ribosomal RNA (253 nucleotides) under uncultured bacterium. RNAcentral describes it as "partial 16S ribosomal RNA". It matches the Rfam family "Bacterial small subunit ribosomal RNA", at positions 524 to 776 of the family's 1533-position model. The record is from RNAcentral.